CUUGCCGCCGGCGACCGGCUACGGGUGAGUAACACGUAUGCAACCUGGCCGUGACAGAUGGAUAACCGGGAGAAAUCCCGCCUAAUACAACAUAAUGCCGGGAGGGGACAUCCCCUGCCGGUCAAAGGGGGCGACCCGGUCACGGAUGGGCAUGCGGCGCAUUAGGUAGUUGGUGGGGCAACGGCCCACCAAGCCGACGAUGCGUAGGGGUUCUGAGAGGAAGGUCCCCACAUUGGAACUGAGACACGGUCCAAACUCCUACGGGAGGCAGCAG
This 274-nucleotide ribosomal RNA is filed under the name uncultured bacterium. RNAcentral describes it as "partial 16S ribosomal RNA". It matches the Rfam family "Bacterial small subunit ribosomal RNA", at positions 81 to 354 of the family's 1533-position model. The record is from RNAcentral.